Molecule: ribosomal RNA, 117 nt
Organism: Lepisosteus oculatus (spotted gar)
Lineage: Eukaryota; Metazoa; Chordata; Actinopteri; Semionotiformes; Lepisosteidae
Source: Rfam
GCCAGCAGAAAUAUCAUCCUGCAGUUCUCAAAUGGUUACCCACUGAAGCUAAGCAGGGUUGAGCCUGGUCAGUACCUGGAUAGGAGGCCUCCUGGGAAGCUAUGGUUGCUGCUGGAA